RNAcentral lists this unclassified non-coding RNA (192 nucleotides) under Trametes versicolor. RNAcentral describes it as "ITS1". The record is from RNAcentral. Lineage: Eukaryota; Fungi; Basidiomycota; Agaricomycetes; Polyporales; Polyporaceae.
AAGGAUCAUUAACGAGUUUUGAAACGGGUUGUAGCUGGCCUUCCGAGGCAUGUGCACGCUCUGCUCAUCCACUCUACCCCUGUGCACUUACUGUAGGUUGGCGUGGGCUCCUUAACGGGAGCAUUCUGCCGGCCUAUGUAUACUACAAACACUUUAAAGUAUCAGAAUGUAAACGCGUCUAACGCAUCUAUA